GCGCUCACUUUGGCAGCACAUAUACUGAAAUUGGAAGGAUACAGAGAAGAUUAGCGUGGAUGCAAGGAUGACAUGCAAAUUCGUGAAGCAUUCCACAUUAAA
Jaculus jaculus (lesser Egyptian jerboa) is the source of this 102-nucleotide small nuclear RNA. The record is from Ensembl. NCBI's taxonomy places the organism in Eukaryota, Metazoa, Chordata, Mammalia, Rodentia, Dipodidae.